GAUGAACGCUGGCGGUAUGCUUAACACAUGCAAGUCGAACGGACUCUUCGGAGUUAGUGGCGGACGGGUGAGUAACGCGUGAGAAUCUGGCUUUGGGUUCGGGACAACCACUGGAAACGGUGGCUAAUACCGGAUGUGCCGAGAGGUAAAAGAGAAAUUGCCUGAAGAUGAGCUCGCGUCUGAUUAGCUAGUUGGUGAGGUAAGGGCUCACCAAGGCAGCGAUCAGUAGCUGGUCUGAGAGGAUGACCAGCCACACUGGGACUGAGACACGGCCCAGACUCCUACGGGAGGCAGGAGUGGGGAAUGUUCCGCAAUGGGCGAAUGCCUGACGGAGCAAUACCGCGUGAGGGAAGAAGGCUCUUGGGUUGUAAACCUCUUUUCUUAGGGAAGAACAAAAUGACGGUACCUAAGGAAUCAGCAUCGGCUAACUCCGUG
This 435-nucleotide ribosomal RNA is filed under the name uncultured bacterium. RNAcentral describes it as "partial 16S ribosomal RNA". It matches the Rfam family "Bacterial small subunit ribosomal RNA", at positions 28 to 507 of the family's 1533-position model. The record is from RNAcentral.